RNAcentral lists this ribosomal RNA (382 nucleotides) under uncultured eukaryote. RNAcentral's name for it is "partial 18S ribosomal RNA". It matches the Rfam family "Eukaryotic small subunit ribosomal RNA", at positions 592 to 976 of the family's 1831-position model. The record is from RNAcentral.
UGUAAGCGUAUACCAAAGUUGUUGCAGUUAAAACGCUCGUAGUCGGAAUUUGGCAGUUCCGGAUGUGUGCACGUCGUGUGCGCACUUCGCGGGGAUUGCUUUUGUGGUCUUGCGUAGGAUGAGGCACUUUUAUUAGUGAACGUCCUCACGCAACCACUUUUUACUGUGAGAAAAUCAGAGUGCUCAAAGCAGGCAUUUGCCGUGAAUGUAUUAGCAUGGAAUAAUAGAAUAGGACUUGGUUCUAUUUUGUUGGUUUGUUGGGACUGAGUAAUGAUUAAGAGGGACAGUUGGGGGCAUUUGUAUUUCGGUGCUAGAGGUGAAAUUCUUAGUUUACCGAAAGACAAACUGCUGCGAAAGCGUCUGCCAAGGAUGUUUUCAUUGA